AUGGCCUCCACGCCGGAGCCCGUCCCUUAAGCUCCUAGGAUUUUUAGAUGUUGAAAAUACUCCCUGCGCCCGGCAUUCAAUAUUGUAUGGUUCAUUAGGAUCUGUUGUGGCUGGCUUUGGACAUUUUUUGUUCACUAGUAGAAUUAGAAGAUCAUGUGAUGUUGGAGUAGGGGGGUUUAUCUUGGUGACUUUGGGAUGCUGGUUUCACUGUAGGUAUAAUUAUGCAAGGCAAAGAAUCCAGGAAAGAAUUGCCAGAGAAGAAAUUAAAAAGAAGAUAUUAUAUGAAGGUACCCACCUCGAUCCUGAAAGAAAACACAACGGCGGCAGCAGCAAUUGAACAAUCUUGAGCAUAGAAAAGAAGUCAAUGUAAACGAAGUUAAGAUCAACCACAUAAAACAUUUCAUGUGCAAUAAGCUCUCAAUCAAGUAAAUAAAGUUUAAGUUGUA
This 446-nucleotide long non-coding RNA is filed under the name Homo sapiens (human). Its description in RNAcentral is "HSALNT0163868". Lineage: Eukaryota; Metazoa; Chordata; Mammalia; Primates; Hominidae. The record is from RNAcentral.